Long non-coding RNA from Erinaceus europaeus (western European hedgehog), 1131 nucleotides. RefSeq lists it as uncharacterized. Lineage: Eukaryota; Metazoa; Chordata; Mammalia; Eulipotyphla; Erinaceidae. The transcript has 2 exons. The record is from RefSeq and is a predicted model, not a curated record.
CCAGACAUCACUCUGAUACAUGUGCUGCCGGGGGAUUGAACUUGGGACCUCAUACUUGAGAGUCCAAUGCUUUAUCCACUGCAGCACCUCCCAGACCAUGACUUUAGUCUUAAAAAUUUUUUUUGUUAUCUUUAUUUUUUGUAUAGAGAUAGCCAGAAAUUGAGAGGAAGGGGAAAAUAGGGAGAGGGGGAGGAAGAGAGAGACAGACUCUUGUAAUAGUGCUUCACUGUGAAGUUGUCCCCCUGCACGUGGGGACCAGGUACUUGAACCCAGGUCCUUGCACAUUGUAACAUACUGAGACAGGUGCACCACCACCUAGUCUUCAAGUAGUUUUCAGUCUUGAGUGUCUAGUUUGAAACAGCCAUCAUUUGAGAAGGCAACAGAAGCUCCUGUCAGCCUGUUGAGUGCUUCUUUUGGCACUUCUUGCUCACCACUCAACUGUGGAGGGACCACUUCUGGACAUGCUGCUGCAGAAUCAGUAUGGCCAGUCAUGGCUGCCAGUAUGUGGUUUCUGACCUACCACCAUACUCUCCCUGAUUUUUUUUCUAAAAUUAUCUUUAUUUAUUUAUUGGAUGAAGACAGCCAGAAAUUGAGAUGUGGGGGAGGACAGAGAGGAGGGAGAGAGACAUAUAUCUGCAACACUUUCACUACUGAAAAGCUUUCUGCCUACAGGUGGGGACCAGGGGCUUGAACCUGGGCCCUUGCACAUUACAACAUGUGCACUCAACCAGGUGGACCACCACCUGCCCCCUUCUCUCAGGUUUCUAGUAAUGCCCUCCCUUCAUCUGCUUCUGAUACUUUUUCACUCUGUCCCCUUGCCCCUCCUUCUGGUUCCUGUGCCUGUCAAGAUGAGCUCUAUGCCCAGAAACUGAAGUAUAAGGCCAUUAGCGAGGAGCUGGACCACGCCCUCAAUGACAUGACCUCUAUAUAACUACCACCGUUUCAGCUCUGUUCUGGAUCUACCCCUUUUCCUUGGGGAACCCAAUGCCCCAUUCGCUCUGGAUUCCAUUUGGACCAGCGUGAUCAGCCCCCAAGGCACUAGGCUGGGGAGGGGGUGUCUGUUACAAAGCAAUUUAUGUAUUCUCUUUCACCCUACCCUCCAUUAAAAUGUUAAGCUGCUGGAAGCCUGAA